Molecule: ribosomal RNA, 537 nt
Filed under: Aspergillus flavus
Lineage: Eukaryota; Fungi; Ascomycota; Eurotiomycetes; Eurotiales; Aspergillaceae
Description: eukaryotic LSU rRNA
Rfam family: 5.8S ribosomal RNA (bases 158-311)
Source: RNAcentral
CCACCUCCCACCCGUGUUUACUGUACCUUAGUUGCUUCGGCGGGCCCGCCAUUCAUGGCCGCCGGGGGCUCUCAGCCCCGGGCCCGCGCCCGCCGGAGACACCACGAACUCUGUCUGAUCUAGUGAAGUCUGAGUUGAUUGUAUCGCAAUCAGUUAAAACUUUCAACAAUGGAUCUCUUGGUUCCGGCAUCGAUGAAGAACGCAGCGAAAUGCGAUAACUAGUGUGAAUUGCAGAAUUCCGUGAAUCAUCGAGUCUUUGAACGCACAUUGCGCCCCCUGGUAUUCCGGGGGGCAUGCCUGUCCGAGCGUCAUUGCUGCCCAUCAAGCACGGCUUGUGUGUUGGGUCGUCGUCCCCUCUCCGGGGGGGACGGGCCCCAAAGGCAGCGGCGGCACCGCGUCCGAUCCUCGAGCGUAUGGGGCUUUGUCACCCGCUCUGUAGGCCCGGCCGGCGCUUGCCGAACGCAAAUCAAUCUUUUUCCAGGUUGACCUCGGAUCAGGUAGGGAUACCCGCUGAACUUAAGCAUAUCAAUAGCCGGA